RNAcentral lists this ribosomal RNA (1347 nucleotides) under uncultured bacterium. RNAcentral describes it as "bacterial SSU rRNA". It matches the Rfam family "Bacterial small subunit ribosomal RNA", at positions 28 to 1381 of the family's 1533-position model. The record is from RNAcentral.
GAUAAACGCUGUCGGCGUACAUAACACAUGCAAGUCGAACGAUGAACCUUAUUAGAUUUCUUCGGAAUGAAAAUAAGUGGAUUAGUGGCGAACGGGUGAGUAACACGUGAGUAACCUGCCUUACACAAGGGGAUAGCCUUUGGAAACGAAGAAUAAUACCCUAUAAAGUUGGUCAAUCGCAUGGUAGACUAACCAAAGAUUUAUCGGUGUAAGAUGGACUUGCGUCUGAUUAGCUAGUUGGUGAGAUAAAAGCCCACCAAGGCGACGAUCAGUAGCCGGCUUGAGAGAGUGUACGGCCACAUUGGGACUGAGACACGGCCCAAACUCCUACGGGAGGCAGCAGUGGGGAAUUUUGCACAAUGGGGGAAACCCUGAUGCAGCGACGCCGCGUGAUUAGAAGGCCUUCGGGUUGUAAAAAUCUUUUUUAUGGGAUGAAAAUGACAGUACCAUAAGAAUAAGGUCCGGCUAAAUACGUGCCAGCAGCCGCGGUAAUACGUAUGGACCGAGCGUUGUCCGGAAUCAUUGGGCGUAAAGGGUACGUAGGCGGCCUAGUAAGUUAGAAGUGAAAUAAUAUAGCUCAACUAUAUAAAGCUUUUAAAACUGUUAGGCUUGAGAGAUGAAAGGGAAAGUGGAAUUCCUAGUGUAGCGGUGAAAUGCGCAGAUAUAGGAAAGAAUACCGGUGGCGGAAGGCGACUUUCUGGUCAUCAUCUGACGCUGAGGUACGAAAGCGUGGGUAGCAAACAGGAUUAGAUACCCUGGUAGUCCACGCUGUAAACGAUGAGUGUUAGGUUCUUGGAAUAAUCUGGGAGCCGCAGCUAACGCAUUAAACACUCCGCCUGGGGAGUACGCACGCAAGUGUGAAACUCAAAGGAAUUGACGGGGACCCGCACAAGCAGCGGAGCAUGUGGUUUAAUUCGACGCAGCGCGAAGAACCUUACCAAGUCUUGACAUAAUACGGAGGGAGUUAGGGAUAAUUCCUUAUCACUUCGGUGAGCUGUAUUACAGGUGGUGCAUGGUUGUCGUCAGCUCGUGUCGUGAGAUGUUGGGUUAAGUCCCAUAACGAGCGCAACCCCUAUCGUUAGUUACCAUCAUUAAGUUGGGGACUCUAGCGAUACUGCCGGUGAUAAACCGGAGGAAGGUGGGGACGACGUCAAAUCAUCAUGCCCUUUAUGACUUGGGCUACACACGUGCUACAAUGGCAGAUACAGAGGGCAGCGAAAGAGCGAUCUGAAGCGAAACUCACAAAGUCUGUCCCAGUUCGGAUUGUACUCUGCAACUCGAGUACAUGAAGUUGGAGUUGCUAGUAAUCGCGAAUCAGAAUGUCGCGGUGAAUGCGUUCCCGGGUCU